AACGAACGCUGGCGGCAUGCCUAACACAUGCAAGUCGAACGAGACCUUCGGGUCUAGUGGCGCACGGGUGCGUAACGCGUGGGAACCUGCCCUUAGGUUCGGAAUAACUCCCCGAAAGGGGUGCUAAUACCGGAUAAUGUCUUCGGACCAAAGAUUUAUCGCCUUUGGAUGGGCCCGCGUUGGAUUAGCUAGUUGGUAGGGUAAAAGCCUACCAAGGCGACGAUCCAUAGCUGGUCUGAGAGGAUGAUCAGCCACACUGGGACUGAGACACGGCCCAGACCCUACGGGGAGGAAGAGGUGGGGAUAAUUGGACAAUGGGCGAAAGCCUGAUCAGGAAUGGCGGGGUGAGUGAGGAAGGCUUUGGGGUGGUAAGCCCCUUUUCCCGGGGAGGAAAUGACAGUACCGGGAGAAUAAGCUCCGGCUAACUCCGUG
RNAcentral lists this ribosomal RNA (432 nucleotides) under uncultured bacterium. RNAcentral's name for it is "partial 16S ribosomal RNA". It matches the Rfam family "Bacterial small subunit ribosomal RNA", at positions 29 to 507 of the family's 1533-position model. The record is from RNAcentral.